AAUCCUGUCUGGACUCAAAGGAAAAAUCGUAAUUGGCAGAUACUCUCUCAGUUACUCCCAGGUUGCAGUUAAUGAGCAGCCUGUUCGCCUGCAGCCUUUAGACAGGGAACAAGGGGCGCAGCCUUUCCCACUUUAUUGGUUACUGACUGGCAAAGAAGGAUUCCACUAGCACUGCUUGGCUAUCAAAGCUGGGCAAUGUGGUCCUCUAAGCCACAUGUUUAGGAAUUCACAAAACAAUUGUGGAGGCUGGCAAUUCCAACAUCUGAGGAGUAGGUAAACUGGAAGACUAGAGACCCUGGGAAGAGUUGAUGUUGCAGCUUGAAUCUGAAGGCAGCCUGCUGGAAGAAUCCCCUCUUUCUUGUAGAAGCCCCUUGACUGGGCAAACUUCAAACAAGGUGACUGAGCUCCCUUAGCUGCCACUGAUUGGAUCAGGAUGGACAACAAAUGUAGGAGGAGUUCAUCUGGAUCUAGCCUGAGCCAGUCAGAUGUCCCCUUUGAAUCCAUGCCUAUAGAAAUACAAAAAAUGGAAGCCAGAGGAUGAUGGAUCCUUGAAGUAAUAAGUCAGGUAGAUCUUGAAAAUUUUUGACUCAAUCCAUAUUGAUGAACACAAGAAUAAUUCUGGUCUAC
This 627-nucleotide long non-coding RNA is filed under the name Pongo abelii (Sumatran orangutan). RNAcentral describes it as "lincRNA". The record is from RNAcentral. Lineage: Eukaryota; Metazoa; Chordata; Mammalia; Primates; Hominidae.